CUACACACGUGCCUAACAAGUGGGGCGGUAACGAAAGGGUCGACCGAACCCGCGAGGGGAGCCAAUCCCAAAAAGCCGCUCUCAGUUCGGAUUGCAGGCUGCAACUCGCCUGCAUGAAGCCGGAAUCGCUAGUAAUCGCGGAUCAGCAUGCCGCGGUGAAUACGUUCCCGGGCCUU
This 176-nucleotide ribosomal RNA is filed under the name uncultured Anoxybacillus sp. Its description in RNAcentral is "partial 16S ribosomal RNA". It matches the Rfam family "Bacterial small subunit ribosomal RNA", at positions 1214 to 1382 of the family's 1533-position model. The record is from RNAcentral. Lineage: Bacteria; Bacillati; Bacillota; Bacilli; Caryophanales; Anoxybacillaceae.